Molecule: ribosomal RNA, 506 nt
Filed under: uncultured bacterium
Lineage: Bacteria
Description: partial 16S ribosomal RNA
Rfam family: Bacterial small subunit ribosomal RNA
Source: RNAcentral
AUUGAACGCUGGCGGCAGGCUUAGCACAUGCAAGUCGAGCGGUAACAGAGAGAAGCUUGCUUCUCUGCUGACGAGCGGCGGACGGGUGAGUAAUGCCUAGGAAUCUGCCUAGUAGUGGGGGAUAACUUGCCGAAAGGUAAGCUAAUACCGCAUACGUCCUACGGGAGAAAGGAGGGGACCUUCGGGCCUUUCGCUAUUAGAUGAGCCUAGGUCGGAUUAGUUAGUUGGUGAGGUAAUGGCUCACCAAGACCGCGAUCCGUAACUGGUCUGAGAGGAUGAUCAGUCACACUGGAACUGAGACACGGUCCAGACUCCUACGGGAGGCAGCAGUGGGGAAUAUUGGACAAUGGGGGGAACCCCGAUCCAGCCAUGCCGCGUGUGUGAAGAAGGUCUUAGGAUUGUAAAGCACUUUAAGUUGGGAGGAAGAGCAGUUAACUAAUAUUUGACUGUUUUGACGUUACCGACAGAAUAAGCACCGGCUAACUUCGUGCCAGCCGCCGCUGUAA